This 907-nucleotide ribosomal RNA is filed under the name Staphylococcus pseudintermedius. Its description in RNAcentral is "bacterial SSU rRNA". It matches the Rfam family "Bacterial small subunit ribosomal RNA", at positions 28 to 916 of the family's 1533-position model. Lineage: Bacteria; Bacillati; Bacillota; Bacilli; Caryophanales; Staphylococcaceae. The record is from RNAcentral.
GAUGAACGCUGGCGGCGUGCCUAAUACAUGCAAGUCGAGCGAACAGAUAAGGAGCUUGCUCCUUUGACGUUAGCGGCGGACGGGUGAGUAACACGUGGGUAACCUACCUAUAAGACUGGAAUAACUCCGGGAAACCGGGGCUAAUGCCGGAUAACAUGUUGAACCGCAUGGUUCUACAGUGAAAGACGGUCUUGCUGUCACUUAUAGAUGGACCCGCGCCGUAUUAGCUAGUUGGUGGGGUAACGGCCUACCAAGGCGACGAUACGUAGCCGACCUGAGAGGGUGAUCGGCCACACUGGAACUGAGACACGGUCCAGACUCCUACGGGAGGCAGCAGUAGGGAAUCUUCCGCAAUGGGCGAAAGCCUGACGGAGCAACGCCGCGUGAGUGAUGAAGGUCUUCGGAUCGUAAAGCUCUGUUGUUAGGGAAGAACAAAUGUGUAAGUAACUGUGCACAUCUUGACGGUACCUAACCAGAAAGCCACGGUUAACUACGUGCCAGCAGCCGCGGUAAUACGUAGGUGGCAAGCGUUAUCCGGAAUUAUUGGGCGUAAAGCGCGCGUAGGCGGUUUUUUAAGUCUGAUGUGAAAGCCCACGGCUCAACCGUGGAGGGUCAUUGGAAACUGGAAAACUUGAGUGCAGAAGAGGAAAGUGGAAUUCCAUGUGUAGCGGUGAAAUGCGCAGAGAUAUGGAGGAACACCAGUGGCGAAGGCGGCUUUCUGGUCUGCAACUGACGCUGAUGUGCGAAAGCGUGGGGAUCAAACAGGAUUAGAUACCCUGGUAGUCCACGCCGUAAACGAUGAGUGCUAAGUGUUAGGGGGUUUCCGCCCCUUAGUGCUGCAGCUAACGCAUUAAGCACUCCGCCUGGGGAGUACGGUCGCAAGACUGAAACUCAAAGGAAUUGACGG